This 253-nucleotide ribosomal RNA is filed under the name uncultured bacterium. RNAcentral's name for it is "partial 16S ribosomal RNA". It matches the Rfam family "Bacterial small subunit ribosomal RNA", at positions 524 to 776 of the family's 1533-position model. The record is from RNAcentral.
UACGUAGGGUGCGAGCGUUAAUCGGAAUUACUGGGCGUAAAGCGUGCGCAGGCGGUGCUGUAAGACCGAUGUGAAAUCCCCGGGCUUAACCUGGGAACUGCAUUGGUGACUGCAGCGCUGGAGUAUGGCAGAGGGGGGUGGAAUUCCACGUGUAGCAGUGAAAUGCGUAGAGAUGUGGAGGAACACCGAUGGCGAAGGCAGCCCCCUGGGCCAAUACUGACGCUCAUGCACGAAAGCCAGGGGAGCAAACGGG